GAUGAACGCUGGCGGCGUGCCUAAUACAUGCAAGUCGAGCGAACAGACGAGGAGCUUACUCCUCUGACGUUAGCGGCGGACGGGUGAGUAACACGUGGAUAACCUACCUAUAAGACUGGGAUAACUUCGGGAAACCGGAGCUAAUACCGGAUAACAUGUUGAACCGCAUGGUUCAACAGUGAAAGACGGUCUUGCUGUCACUUAUAGAUGGAUCAGCGUCGCAUUAGCUAGUUGGUAAGGUAACGGCUUACCAAGGCAACGAUGCGUAGCCGACCUGAGAGGGUGAUCGGCCACACGGGAACUGAGACACGGUCCAGACUCCUACGGGAGGAAGCAGUAGGGAAUCUUCCGCAAUGGGCGAAAGCCUGACGGAGCAACGCCGCGUGAGUGAUGAAGGUCUUCGGAUCGUAAAACUCUGUUAUUAGGGAAGAACAAAUGUGUAAGUAACUAUGCACGUCUUGACGGUACCUAAUCAGAAAGCCACGGCUAACUACGUG
RNAcentral lists this ribosomal RNA (497 nucleotides) under uncultured bacterium. RNAcentral's name for it is "partial 16S ribosomal RNA". It matches the Rfam family "Bacterial small subunit ribosomal RNA", at positions 28 to 507 of the family's 1533-position model. The record is from RNAcentral.